RNAcentral lists this transfer RNA (74 nucleotides) under Clostridia bacterium. RNAcentral's name for it is "tRNA-Ile". It matches the Rfam family "tRNA". From Rfam's summary of the family: Transfer RNA (tRNA) molecules are approximately 80 nucleotides in length. Their secondary structure includes four short double-helical elements and three loops (D, anti-codon, and T loops). Lineage: Bacteria; Bacillati; Bacillota; Clostridia. The record is from RNAcentral. RNAcentral also lists the same sequence under 1 other name.
GGAUUAUUAGCUCAGUUGGUCAGAGCAGUCGGCUCAUAACCGAUCGGUCCGGGGUUCAAGUCCCUGAUAAUCCA